RNAcentral lists this ribosomal RNA (564 nucleotides) under Rhodotorula sp. Its description in RNAcentral is "partial large subunit ribosomal RNA". It matches the Rfam family "Eukaryotic large subunit ribosomal RNA", at positions 81 to 657 of the family's 3401-position model. The record is from RNAcentral. Lineage: Eukaryota; Fungi; Basidiomycota; Microbotryomycetes; Sporidiobolales; Sporidiobolaceae.
UAGUAGCGGCGAGCGAAGCGGGAAGAGCUCAAAUUUAUAAUCUGGCACCUUCGGUGUCCGAGUUGUAAUCUCUAGAAGUGUUUUCCGCGUUGGACCGCACACAAGUCUGUUGGAAUACAGCGGCAUAGUGGUGAAACCCCCGUAUAUGGUGCGGACGCCCAGCGCUUUGUGAUACACUUUCAAUGAGUCGAGUUGUUUGGGAAUGCAGCUCAAAUUGGGUGGUAAAUUCCAUCUAAAGCUAAAUAUUGGCGAGAGACCGAUAGCGAACAAGUACCGUGAGGGAAAGAUGAAAAGCACUUUGGAAAGAGAGUUAACAGUACGUGAAAUUGUUGGAAGGGAAACGCUUGAAGUCAGACUUGCUUGCCGGAGCUUGCUUCGGUUUGCAGGCCAGCAUCAGUUUUUCGGGGUGGAUAAUGACGGUUUGAAGGUAGCAGUCUCGGCUGUGUUAUAGCUUUCCGUUGGAUACAUCCUGGGGGACUGAGGAACGCAGCGUGCUUUUUGCGAAAGACUCGUCUUUUUCACGCUUAGGAUGCUGGUGGAAUGGCUUUAAACGACCCGUCUUGA